UAGCUAGUUGGUGAGGUAAAGGCUUACCAAGGCGACGAUCUGUAGCGGGUCUGAGAGGAUGAUCCGCCACACUGGAACUGAGACACGGUCCAGACUCCUACGGGAGGCAGCAGUGGGGAAUUUUGGACAAUGGGGGCAACCCUGAUCCAGCCAUGCCGCGUGAGUGAAGAAGGCCUUCGGGUUGUAAAGCUCUUUCGGCCGGGAAGAAAUCGCGUGGGCCAAUACCCUGUGUGGAUGACGGUACCGGAAUAAGAAGCACCGGCUAACUACGUGCCAGCAGCCGCGGUAAUACGUAGGGUGCGAGCGUUAAUCGGAAUUACUGGGCGUAAAGCGUGCGCAGGCGGUUUUGUAAGACAGGCGUGAAAUCCCCGGGCUUAACCUGGGAACUGCGUUUGUGACUGCAAGGCUAGAGUACGGCAGAGGGGGGUGGAAUCCACGUGUAGCAGUGGAAUGCGUAGAGAUGUGGAGGAACACCAAUGGCGAAGGCAGCCCCCUGGGUCGAUACUGACGCUCAUGCACGAAAGCGUGGGUAGCAAACAGGAUUAGAUACCCUGGUAGUCCACGCCCUAAACUAUGUCAACUAGGUGUUGGGUGGGUAAAACCAUUUAGUACCGUAGCUAACGCGUGAAGUUGACCGCCUGGGGAGUACGGCCGCAAGGUUAAAACUCAAAGGAAUUGACGGGGACCCGCACAAGCGGUGGAUGAUGUGGAUUAAUUCGAUGCAACGCGAAAAACCUUACCUACCCUUGACAUGCCAGGAACUUGCCAGAGAUGGCUUGGUGCCCGAAAGGGAGCCUGGACACAGGUGCUGCAUGGCUGUCGUCAGCUCGUGUCGUGAGAUGUUGGGUUAAGUCCCGCAACGAGCGCAACCCUUGUCGUUAAUUGCCAUCAUUUAGUUGGGCACUUUAACGAGACUGCCGGUGACAAACCGGAGGAAGGUGGGGAUGACGUCAAGUCCUCAUGGCCCUUAUGGGUAGGGCUUCACACGUCAUACAAUGGUCGGUACAAAGGGUUGCCAAGCCGCGAGGCGGAGCCAAUCCCAGAAAGCCGAUCGUAGUCCGGAUUGCAGGCUGCAACUCGCCUGCAUGAAGUCGGAAUCGCUAGUAAUCGUGGAUCAGCAUGUCACGGUGAAUACGUUCCCGGGUCUUGUACACACCGCCCGUCACACCAUGGGAGCGGGUUCCGCCAGAAGUAGGUAGCCUAACCGCAAGGGGGGCGCUUACCACGGCGGGGUUCGUGACUGGGGUGAAGUCGUAACAAGGUAGCCGUAGGGGAACCUGCGGCUG
This 1286-nucleotide ribosomal RNA is filed under the name metagenome. RNAcentral's name for it is "bacterial SSU rRNA". It matches the Rfam family "Bacterial small subunit ribosomal RNA", at positions 242 to 1520 of the family's 1533-position model. The record is from RNAcentral.